CUAGAAGAGAAGCUUCUAGUUUUAAUGCUACUGAGUAAAUUAUCCAAAAAAUUCAACCCAUAUGAAAUUACAUAAAAGGAAGAUUGAAAAAAUAUGACCCAUCAGAGAAAUGCCCAAUUAUAAAUCCAUGCCCCAAAGCUGAAAUCCAGAGCCUUUAAUAGCAGCAAAAAUAUUUGCUGACCUUUUGUUUUUGUAUUGAAUGACCAUUCCACUCUUCUCUGAUAGAAAUCCUAUUAUGUUUCAAGUUUCAAAAGUCAUGCCUUUUCGUUACCUUACUCUCUCUGUGUUUUUAUUCCAGCUACAUGUCCUGAAUCAUCAUCAUGUUUUCUUUUAAAUACUUACUUAUUUUUCUAUAUUGUAUAAGGCUCUGUCUAGGACAAGGCCAAGUCUUAUUCCUUGUAUUUAAACAUCCACUUAGUGUGAUUUAAAACAGAGUAAUAGCUCAAGACAUGUUUGUUGAAAAGACAUCAAGAUUGCAUUCAUUUUCUGGUCAUAGCUGUCUUACUAAUCACCUAAAUGAUUACCAUUUAAAAAUUCAUAUAUGAUUUAUAAUACUGAAAAUUUUGUGGACUCCAGUAUGACAGUUGGGUUUCUAAUAACUAUACUUGAGACAAAAAUGGCAUCAAAAUCUAUUUUGAUUGCCGUAAUGCUUUUAAAUAAACAUAGAGGCAAGCAGAAUUUGUGUAAUUUCUCAAAACCAGCAAUACACAUAUGUUUAUGACCAGUUGUUCAGCCUAUAGAAAUUGGUGUGCAUAUGUAUUUCUAACAGCCUGAUAAUAAAUAUGUUACUCCUGAAGAGGGCUUUGCUAUUGUGGAUGGGAAGAUGAUUUUAUAUAAAUACAUAAGUUACAUCUUUCUGUAGAAACUUUGUCUCAUAUUACAGUGUCAGAUUCAGUGUUGAGUUGUUGGCACUAUAAUAAUGAAUAGCAAUUUUCACAUGAAAGAUUUUAUAAAAUCCUUUCAUUCUUCAGCUUACUACCCACACAAGAGAACAAUUUGGUUCAAGUACUUAAAAUGACAUAUUUAGUGGCACCUGGAUGGUUCAGUCAGUUGAGGGACUGACUCUUGUUUUUGGCUCAGGGUCUGGGGAUCGAGACCCGUGUCGUUCUCUGCACUCAGUGGGGUCUACUGAAGAUUCUUUCUCUUUUCCUCUGCCUCUCUCCCCCCUCACACACAUUCUGUCUCUGUCUCUCUCAAUCAAUCAAAUCUUAAAAAAUAACAUAUUUAAAAAUAGUAAUUUGUCAUGAGGCUUUCUUUAAGCCAUCGAUGUUUUUGGCACAUGAAACUGGCUUUCUCACAUAAAAAAGACCAUUUUUUUUUUAAUUAUGAAGAACAUAGUGUGUUUCAGGGAGAAACCAUGUUUAAAGCAUCUCCUUUUGUCAAUGUCAUUAGGCUUACCUAAUCAGAGCUUUCAUUCAAUGUCUGCAAAAUUUAGAGUGUCUCUAAGCACAAAAUCUAUGUAUGCCAAUAUACAGAACACGUGGUGUUUCUAUUUCAAGGAAAAAUUGUGUUUACCCUAUUACCUGUCAUCAUAAUACCCGUCGGAAUUGUUGUUGUAAGUCAUUCAUCAUCUUAGAAGUAAAUAAUUUUCUUGAUGUGUUGUAGGAAAAAUACAUCAAUACAGAGAAUGAUGAUGGUGUGAUUAUAGUAAUUAUCACAUGUAACAUGGGUAGUUACUACUAUUUACUUCUGUUCUAAUUCAUUAUAGAGCUAGUAAAAGUCACACUAAGGAGGAUAUCCAAGGUGAAAUAACAUUAAGGAAUUUUUGUUCACUGGAAAUGAAAUGAAUAAAGGCUUUGAAGUAGAUUUGAUUUAUAGUUUUUUUCUGGCUAAACUCUAGGGCAAAUUUUAAUUAGCUAUAUUAUGAUUUUGAGAGGAAUUAAAAUAACUUUCAACUGGAAACAGUAUUAUAAAUAGUCAUCUAAAAGAUGAGAAAGUCAAGAAGAUAAUAGAUAUUAAAAUGUUCUAUUAUUCCAAAAGUUAACAUUUGUGUUGUUGAUUAUAAUUUUCUUUUACUAGAUCCUGGAUUAUCCACAGGCAGAAAUCACUUUAUUGUUAUUUUUCUUGUAAUGCCAAACAAAGUGGUAUAUGGAAUAUAUUGGCAUAUGGGAAGUGAUCAUGUGUGCUGAGUCUCAUACUGGUGUGAGAGAUCUGAUUGUUAGAUUUUCAGGAAUUGUACAGACUGGUGUUGUCUUGGUAGCUUGACAUCAGGCAUGGUGGGAAUAUUUAUAACAGAAUUAGUCAAGAAGAAGGCUUUUCCCCAGAGAGCAGAUUAUUAAACAUUUACUGGCAUACCACCAGAAAGCUUUCAAUAAAUGGUAAAUGGACAAAGAAUGAGUGAUUGGUUUUAAAAAUAGUGAUAAUCUACAAUAAUACAAAGAAAUACAAACUACUCAUGAAAUAAACACACAGCAUUAAAUAAGAUAAAAUAUUUGGAAUUUGGUGUCAUAUAGGCUUCCCAUUCUAAUGUGGACUCUAGCGCUGACUAGUUGUGUAUUCUUGUGCAAGAAAUUUAGACUCUUUGAGGUGGAAGUCUCUUCCAACAUGUGAGGAUACAAGGAAAAGUCUGCAACCUGGAGGAGGGUCCUCACUCAACCAUGUGGCACCUCAAUCUUGGACUUCCGGCCCAAAGAACUGUUUUGAACUAAAAGCCAACAAAGAUUAAGUGGAUAAUGAUAAAAAUGAACACCCAUUUUCUUUAAAAACAAUUAGAUUAGGAGUGUGUACAAAGGCUGAAUUGCAUAUUUUUGAUGCAGAGGCAUUCAAUUAUGAAGGUAAUCCUAGUUACAUACCACUGGCAACUUUGAAAAUGUCUGUACAGCUUGUGGUUUCCCUCAGGCUUUGAAAUAAUACCCUGUGGUCUUAUGUAUGGUUUGGGGUCUGUGCAUAUUAGUGGACAGUGUUUAGUGACUGUAGGCAAAGAUACAAAGUAAUGUGAAAUCCCUAAGUAUAUACGGAAAGUGAUCUGCUCCUGGAAGUGGUAGCAAGUUUCUACGGG
This 2998-nucleotide long non-coding RNA is filed under the name Canis lupus familiaris (dog). RNAcentral describes it as "lncRNA (ENSCAFG00000055800.1)". Lineage: Eukaryota; Metazoa; Chordata; Mammalia; Carnivora; Canidae. The record is from RNAcentral.